RNAcentral lists this non-coding RNA (143 nucleotides) under Rhodococcus sp. (in: high G+C Gram-positive bacteria). Lineage: Bacteria; Bacillati; Actinomycetota; Actinomycetes; Mycobacteriales; Nocardiaceae. The record is from RNAcentral.
AUACGCUGCGGUGACCCCGCUUGCCGGCGGGGUGCCGCAGCGUAUCGGUGAAGUCCGGUGUAAUCCGGCACUGUCCCGCAACUGUGAGGCCGGCAGCGCGCUGCCGGACGAGUCAGGUCGGCCGGCGCGGCGGUCACGUACUG